Phyllostomus discolor (pale spear-nosed bat) is the source of this 585-nucleotide long non-coding RNA. RefSeq lists it as uncharacterized. Lineage: Eukaryota; Metazoa; Chordata; Mammalia; Chiroptera; Phyllostomidae. The record is from RefSeq and is a predicted model, not a curated record. The transcript has 2 exons.
AUGUUUCUUGAAUCUUAUAUCUUCUUCAUUAAAUGUCUCGUUUUUCAUCUGGCAUGGCUGGAUAUAUUCUGGACAGGCCUCAUAUGAUUGAUUGAUGCGUUGGUUGAAUGAUAUAAUCAGUUACUAUGUAUUCAAUAAAUAGUAGGUAUUAUUAUUUUUAUAAUCCUAAUCCUACUUGACCACUUAUUUUACUUAAUAUAUUUAUUUCCCUUAGUUCUGCGACAUGACAUUCUCCUGCUUUUCUUCCUAACUUCUGAACUCUCUUUGCUGAUUCUUCUUACUCCACUGGACCUUUAAAUGUUGGAAUUUUUCCAAAUUUUGUUCUUCGUUCUCUUCUCUCUCCCUGAGCUAUGUCAAUGCCUCGUGGGACCCCAGAGACAAACUGUAUUCCCAUGAACCCCAAAUUGAUGUUUUCAGCACACACCCUCCUCUGAGCUCCAGACUCAUGAAUCCUACUGCCUGCCUGUAAUCUCCUCCUGAAUCGACUAAGAUGCCGCAUCUGCCACCUAGAGGAAUAAGAGCUGAAAACCAAAAUAAAGAUCCCGAUUUCAUUGUUUGUUAUCUAAAUGAAACAACAUCAUCACC